UUGAACGCUGGCGGCAGGCCUAACACAUGCAAGUCGAGCGGUAGAGAGAAGCUUGCUUCUCUUGAGAGCGGCGGACGGGUGAGUAAUGCCUAGGAAUCUGCCUGGUAGUGGGGGAUAACGCUCGGAAACGGACGCUAAUACCGCAUACGUCCUACGGGAGAAAGCAGGGGACCUUCGGGCCUUGCGCUAUCAGAUGAGCCUAGGUCGGAUUAGCUAGUUGGUGAGGUAAUGGCUCACCAAGGCGACGAUCCGUAACUGGUCUGAGAGGAUGAUCAGUCACACUGGAACUGAGACACGGUCCAGACUCCUACGGGAGGCAGCAGUGGGGAAUAUUGGACAAUGGGCGAAAGCCUGAUCCAGCCAUGCCGCGUGUGUGAAGAAGGUCUUCGGAUUGUAAAGCACUUUAAGUUGGGAGGAAGGGCAGUAAAUUAAUACUUUGCUGUUUUGACGUUACCGACAGAAUAAGCACCGGCUAACUCUGU
RNAcentral lists this ribosomal RNA (482 nucleotides) under Pseudomonas sp. Its description in RNAcentral is "bacterial SSU rRNA". It matches the Rfam family "Bacterial small subunit ribosomal RNA", at positions 30 to 506 of the family's 1533-position model. Lineage: Bacteria; Pseudomonadati; Pseudomonadota; Gammaproteobacteria; Pseudomonadales; Pseudomonadaceae. The record is from RNAcentral.